AAAAUCAAAAGGCCAAUUUAAUCCUUACAGCUAGACCUGUUCAAUGGGUAAAUGGGGUGGGCUUUUAAAGAGUUAUUAAAUAAUGGGCUUUUAAAGAGUUUGGUCUAAGUUAAAAGGGGCUGAAAUUGGGUAAUUCUUAUGAGGAUUUUUUUAUCCUAAUUUUUUUGUUUCUAAAACUUCCUAACGUCAAAUUAUGAUACUUGAAAAUAAAAAUUCCCAAUUUCCCCCAAAUUAUGAACCCUAAAAAAAAAUUCUCUGAUUCCUUCAAUCUUGCUGCUGCUCACGUGAAUCUUCUUGCUGCUGCUCUCAAUCUUCAAUUUAUCACCCUUCUUCUUUUAUUAUUGCUUGUUGCAGUUUCAUUGUCUCCUUCUCAACACAAUGGAAAGUGAAGCAACUACAAUGUCAAUGCCGGUAGAUGAUGAGAUUGAUGAAUCUAAUGUCGCCCGUAAGCGUAAAAGGAGUAGGAAAUCUAAAGUUUAGCAAGAAAUGACGGAAGGAAAGAAUGCAAAAGGUGAGUGAAGUACUAUUUAUAAGCAUUGUAAAGUGGAGUUAAUUGCCCACAAAAAUAGUGACACAUCUCAUUUAAUACGUCAUUUGCUUGAAAUGUGUAAAAAACGAACUAAUGGAUUUCCACUUGGGGAGGCGGUUGAUGAUGAGGUUUGCAAAGUUGUUGGUUGAAGAUAUGUCAGGUGGAGCAGCUGGCAGACUUGGAAAGAUAUGUGGAACAACUAGCAGACUUGGAACAAUUAUAAUAUAUGUAGAGCAGCUUCGAGUUUCAUAAGUUUUAAGGGUCUAAUUUAUAUUAAGAACAUUGCUUAGUUACUUGAUUGUAACAAAUUUGUGUCAAGAACGUUGCUCACUUCUCUAUUUUUAACUUGUUGGCUAAGGCCCCUUAAAAGGCCCUUUAUAAUUCUCUUAUAUUGGGUUUAUUUCA
Molecule: long non-coding RNA, 934 nt
Organism: Chenopodium quinoa (quinoa)
Lineage: Eukaryota; Viridiplantae; Streptophyta; Magnoliopsida; Caryophyllales; Amaranthaceae
Exons: 2
Source: RefSeq, a predicted model, not a curated record